This 376-nucleotide long non-coding RNA is filed under the name Medicago truncatula (barrel medic). RNAcentral's name for it is "long non-coding RNA (MTRU_LNC000207)". Lineage: Eukaryota; Viridiplantae; Streptophyta; Magnoliopsida; Fabales; Fabaceae. The record is from RNAcentral.
AAGACUCUCUUCCGCAGAUGUUACACAAAAUGGAUGACCGGUCACUGAUUAUAGAAGUGAGGCAAUACCUGCAACAUAAGAGGUAUUUGAUAUUCUUUGAUGAUGUAUGGCAACAAGAUUUCUCUGACCAGGUUGAAUUUGCGAUGCCUAAAAACAAUAAAGGUAGUAGGAUCAUAAUCACCACUAGAAUGAUGCAAGUUGCGGAUUUUUUCAAAAAAUCCUUUCUAGUAUAUGUUCACAACCUGCAACUUUUGCCUCCAAACAAAGCAUGGGAACUUUACUGCAAGAAGGUGUUUGGAUUUGAACUUGGUGGGAAUUGUCCAUCGGAGCUUCAGGAUGUAUCGAAAGAAAUUGUUCGAAAAUGCAAGCAGCUUCC